AUGCAAGUCGAGCGGGGGAAGGUAGCUUGCUACCGGACCUAGCGGCGGACGGGUGAGUAAUGCUUAGGAAUCUGCCUAUUAGUGGGGGACAACAUCUCGAAAGGGAUGCUAAUACCGCAUACGUCCUACGGGAGAAAGCAGGGGAUCUUCGGACCUUGCGCUAAUAGAUGAGCCUAAGUCGGAUUAGCUAGUUGGUGGGGUAAAGGCCUACCAAGGCGACGAUCUGUAGCGGGUCUGAGAGGAUGAUCCGCCACACUGGGACUGAGACACGGCCCAGACUCCUACGGGAGGCAGCAGUGGGGAAUAUUGGACAAUGGGGGGAACCCUGAUCCAGCCAUGCCGCGUGUGUGAAGA
Molecule: ribosomal RNA, 354 nt
Filed under: Acinetobacter baumannii OIFC137
Lineage: Bacteria; Pseudomonadati; Pseudomonadota; Gammaproteobacteria; Moraxellales; Moraxellaceae
Description: bacterial SSU rRNA
Rfam family: Bacterial small subunit ribosomal RNA
Source: RNAcentral